This 449-nucleotide ribosomal RNA is filed under the name uncultured bacterium. RNAcentral's name for it is "bacterial SSU rRNA". It matches the Rfam family "Bacterial small subunit ribosomal RNA", at positions 328 to 794 of the family's 1533-position model. The record is from RNAcentral.
GCACCAGACUCCUACGGGAGGCAGCAGUGGGGAAUAUUGCACAAUGGGGGAAACCCUGAUGCAGCGACGCCGCGUGAGCGAUGAAGUAUUUCGGUAUGUAAAGCUCUAUCAGCAGGGAAGAAGAUGACGGUACCUGACUAAGAAGCCCCGGCUAACUACGUGCCAGCAGCCGCGGUAAUACGUAGGGGGCAAGCGUUAUCCGGAUUUACUGGGUGUAAAGGGAGCGUAGACGGCGAUGCAAGCCAGAUGUGAAAGCCCGGGGCUCAACCCCGGGACUGCAUUUGGAACUGUGUGGCUGGAGUGUCGGAGAGGCAGGCGGAAUUCCUAGUGUAGCGGUGAAAUGCGUAGAUAUUAGGAGGAACACCAGUGGCGAAGGCGGCCUGCUGGACGAUGACUGACGUUGAGGCUCGAAAGCGUGGGGAGCGAACAGGAUUAGAUACCCCCGUACC